Molecule: ribosomal RNA, 253 nt
Filed under: uncultured bacterium
Lineage: Bacteria
Description: partial 16S ribosomal RNA
Rfam family: Bacterial small subunit ribosomal RNA
Source: RNAcentral
UACGAAGGGGGCUAGCGUUGUUCGGAAUUACUGGGCGUAAAGCGCACGCAGGCGGAUUUAUAAGUCAGGGGUGAAAUCACGGGGCUCAACCUCGGAAUUGCCUUUGAUACUGACUAUCUUGAGUCCGGGAGAGGUGAGUGGAAUUCCUAGUGUAGAGGUGAAAUUCGUAGAUAUUAGGAAGAACACCAGUGGCGAAAGCGGCUCACUGGCCCGGUUCUGACGCUCAUGUGCGAAAGCGUGGGGAGCAAACAGG